GCGGCGGACGGGUUAGUAACGCGUGGGAACGUACCCUUUUCUACGGAAUAGCCUCGGGAAACUGAGAGUAAUACCGUAUACGCCCUUUGGGGGAAAGAUUUAUCGGAGAAGGAUCGGCCCGCGUUAGAUUAGAUAGUUGGUGGGGUAAUGGCCUACCAAGUCUACGAUCUAUAGCUGGUUUGAGAGGAUGAUCAGCAACACUGGGACUGAGACACGGCCCAGACUCCUACGGGAGGCAGCAGUGGGGAAUCUUAGACAAUGGGCGCAAGCCUGAUCUAGCCAUGCCGCGUGAGUGAAGAAGGCCUUAGGGUCGUAAAGCUCUUUCGCCUGUGAAGAUAAUGACUGUAGCAGGUAAAGAAACCCCGGCUAACUCCGUGCCAGCAGCCGCGGUAAUACGGAGGGGGUUAGCGUUGUUCGGAAUUACUGGGCGUAAAGCGCGCGUAGGCGGACAUUUAAGUCAGAGGUGAAAUCCCAGGGCUCAACCCUGGAACUGCCUUUGAUACUGGGUGUCUUGAGUUCGAGAGAGGUGAGUGGAAUUCCGAGUGUAGAGGUGAAAUUCGUAGAUAUUCGGAGGAACACCAGUGGCGAAGGCGGCUCACUGGCUCGAUACUGACGCUGAGGUGCGAAAGUGUGGGGAGCAAACAGGAUUAGAUACCCUGGUGGUCCACACCGUAAACGAUGAAUGCCAGUCGUCGGGCAG
Molecule: ribosomal RNA, 700 nt
Filed under: uncultured Alphaproteobacteria bacterium
Lineage: Bacteria; Pseudomonadati; Pseudomonadota; Alphaproteobacteria
Description: bacterial SSU rRNA
Rfam family: Bacterial small subunit ribosomal RNA
Source: RNAcentral